Molecule: ribosomal RNA, 502 nt
Filed under: uncultured bacterium
Lineage: Bacteria
Description: bacterial SSU rRNA
Rfam family: Bacterial small subunit ribosomal RNA
Source: RNAcentral
AUUGAACGCUGGCGGCAUGCCUUACACAUGCAAGUCGAACGGCAGCGCGGGGCAACCUGGCGGCGAGUGGCGAACGGGUGAGUAAUAUAUCGGAACGUGCCCUGGAGUGGGGGAUAACGUAGCGAAAGUUACGCUAAUACCGCAUACGAUCCAAGGAUGAAAGCAGGGGGACCUUCGGGCCUUGUGCUCCUGGAGCGGCCGAUAUCUGAUUAGCUAGUUGGUGGGGUAAAAGCCUACCAAGGCGACGAUCAGUAGCUGGUCUGAGAGGACGACCAGCCACACUGGAACUGAGACACGGUCCAGACUCCUACGGGAGGCAGCAGUGGGGGAAUUUUGGACAAUGGGGGGCAACCCUGAUCCAGCAAUGCCGCGUGUGUGAAGAAGGCCUUCGGGUUGUAAAGCACUUUGUCUAGGAACGAACGGUUAGAGGUUAAUACCCUUGGCUAAUGACGGUACCUGAAGAAUAAGCACCGGCUAACUACGUGCCAGCAGCCGCGGUAAU